Long non-coding RNA from Cyprinus carpio carpio, 991 nucleotides. The record is from Ensembl. Lineage: Eukaryota; Metazoa; Chordata; Actinopteri; Cypriniformes; Cyprinidae.
GUGGCGCUAUGACUAUAACUGAAUAUGGGCAUAUCAAUCUGUUCAGGUCAGGAGUCUUAUCAAACAUGUGAAGUUUGUGGCAGAUUGGACAUUGUAUGUCUGAGUUAUAGCAACUUCAUUUUUUUCAUGGCGAAUCAUCGAAAUUCGUCAGGCCGCCACGGACACGCCCUUCAACGAAAACUCAAGAUCUUCGCAAUUUAACAUCGCAAAGGCCUUUAGAUUAGGCAUACCAAAUUUGGUGUUGAUCUGAAUAAAUCUCUAGGAGGAGUUCGUUAAAAUACAAGGCAUGCAAAUGACAAAAAUGAUGCAAAAUUUGCUCAUAAAAUUAAAAAUAACCGACUUCCUGUUGGGUUUCGGAUAUUGCUCCAAGAGUCUUUUUUGUAGGUACUGAUGCUUUACAUAUGUGUGCCAAUUUUCGUGCAUGUACGUGAAACACAGCUCGAGGGCUGUUGAUUUUUUUACGGUAGGUGGCGCUGUCGAGCCAUUUUGCCACACCCUCUUCUGAAACCUAUAUCAGACGUAAAUUUUCACCAGGUCUGACGCGUGUGCAAAGUUUCAGGACUUUUCGAGCAUGUUUAGGCCCUCAAAAAUGCGAUUCAUUUUGGAGAAGAAGAAGAAGAAGAAGAAGAAUAAUAAUAAAUAUAGCUGCAAGCAGCGAUGGCGGGCUCAAGCCAUCAGCGCAAACGCCACCCCGGUGGCAUCAGGUAAACUGUGCCCAGCGGGCACAUGCAUUUACAGUAACCCUCUGGCACUCAGGUUUAAAGGGAUAUGGCAAUUAAAGGGUUAAUCCGAACCAUCAAGACUUUGAAAUCACACACACAGAACAAUAUUCAUUAAGAAAGUGAAAUUAUAUGAUUAAUAAUCUAUUUAUUUGAACCCUUGCUAUUUUCUAUUCUAAUAAAAGCCUUGGCUAUGGAACAUCUGUAAUACAGUUGGCUAGCUGGAUGCAAAUAAAGUCAUGCCUUUUAUUUUGUCCCCUGUUUGCUAUUUC